GGUUGAUCUUUAGAACUGUGGAGUGAACAGAUGGACAGUUGGGUUCUGGAGAGAAAAGUGCCUCCAGCUUCCCGAAGUUCAACUUGCAUGGAUAAUCUUUGAUUAAACUUGACUGAAGCAAUGGCCUGAGAAUAUCUAGAGAACUUUUUCAGAGACUGGAAGUGGUAGUUUAGAGGUAAAAAAGCAGAGUAGAAUCGGUGGUGGACACUGAGUUGCUGGCUACUGGGCAAGGGCAGGUCAAGACUAAAUGGAAAUCCUCUUGCUGCAUUGGCGACUUGAGAGUUGGAGUCAAACACUCAAAAUGCUGGGUGAGAAGAAGAGCAAUAGCAGAUCUGGCUGCAAAUGAAGGAUUUAGGAAAAUGGGUCUUCUAUGCAGACAGCUUCUACAAAGAAAAAGCGCUGAUCCUAACGUUUACAGGCUAAACCAAGUCAUACACAGCCCUUCAACAAAUGAAUUGUGACCUUCCACAUGAAGCACUUCUCUGCAGUCAACAUCCCAUCUGCUAACUCAACUCGCAGCAAAAGGUUUUCCACUGACAGCAAAAAUCUCAUUGGGACAACAGCAUAAUUAACAUCCACCUAAGCAACUCUGGGCAUCCUGGCUGGGGGCCAACCCUGUUCUCAGCCCCCAGCUGGGACAAGGAAGGCUCAGGGCUGACCCCAAGGACCCGCCAUCACAAGGGAGGCACUGACAGCUCUUAAAUCUUCACACAUGUACAGCUCCAAUUUGUUACUCAACAGCAUCCUCGCUGGAAGAAACACAUGGACUUGGAAAAAGUGAGUCUGGAAGGGUGAUUGAAAAAUAGAUGACAUUAAUGUUUCCAGCUUGGCACAGGACUCAUGGACACCCUACUCUGACACCCUGCCAGGCUCCUCUGCACAAAAGGAUGACGCGAUGGGUGACGCGAGGGACGGCAGAUGAUUUGGGAGAGCAGCUCCAACUCUGUGUGGUGCGGUGGUGAGGGAAAGCCAUGAAUGUACUGAGCUUCAUUUCUUCUGCCUGGCAGUGAAGACGGGAAUAAAUGAGCAGUUCCCGCUAAAGAGUUCUCUAUUUUAAUCCUGAGACAUGCCCCGCAGCAUCACACUGAAGAAUUAGAAAACAUUGAAUCACACCACUUAAUUGGAGGUACUUGAACCUUUGUUUGACUGUGACAGAGUUUUGAUUCUGAAGACACAAUACAGAAAAACCACAAAAUUUAGAGUUAAUCAGUUCUUAAAAUUAAGGGGUAAAAAUGGUGUCAACUCUGGAAAAUAAUUGGUAUUUUAAGGAAUUACUUUCCUUCCCUGCUACCGCCAUCCUGUUGUAACACAGCCCAGUGGAGUGGGCUUUGCAUGUGUGGUUGCACGUUGCCAAGCGAUGGUUAGAUGUUUAGUAAUUCAACAUGACCUUAAAUUCUGUCACCUGCAAACUGGUAAUCGCACAACUUAUGUCUGUUUUGCUAUUGCUUUAAGCAGGAGAAGAUGGAAGGAUUUGCCUUCUUCACAAAUAUUUUAGCAGCAGGGCUAAUCUGAUUCCAUAUGGUAUUAAAAGAAGUUAAUUUUUUUUUUCUUAAACAAUUUGAAUAAUGUCUAAGAACAGCAUUUGAUAUUAGCCAUGGUAGUGUGAAAAUAUUGUGUCAGUAUGUUUUCCAUGAAAAAGUACUGCAAGAAAAGAUGUAUUUUGCCAAUGCUAGUCUUCAGGACACAUUCCUACUAUUUUGGUCACCUGUGCUCCUGGGAUAAGGCAGUGAGAGUUACAACAACUAAUAUCCCAAACAUAUACCGAAUAAUUUGUUCAUUGGGAAUGAGAAGAAAAUAAUGUUUGCAUCCCUAGAAACAUCCCAGGCCAGGCUGGAUGGGGCUCUGAGCAACCUGAUCUAGCUGAAGAUGUCUCUGCUCAUUGCAGGGGAGUUGGACUGGAUGAGCUUUGAAGGUCCCUUCAACCCAAACUAUUCUAUGAUUCUUCAUUGGGAAAACACAGAGUACUCAACCCUGCUUUUAAUGACCAUCUUUCAUUUCAGGAUGAGCUUCUCAAAGGCCUGGUCUCCUCAGACCUUUUGAACAUCCUAAAUUCAGUGAGGUAGCUGAUGGUAAAUGGAGUGAUGCAGAACUCACCCAAUCCUCAUUUUAGCACCGGACAAUGUCAAAACUGUAUACACAUUUCUCAUUACCAGGCCUUGUCCAUUCAUGAGGUGAAUCUGCCCUUGUGUCUCUGUAACAUUCAGCAGCUUUUGGACAGUGUGAUCACUGUUUGGGAGUCUUACUGUUCUCUACAGACACCAUCUGUUUCAAGCAAAGAUAACACUAUGCUGAUGCUGAGCGUGACUAAAGGCAAAUUUAGCCAAGGGUCAGCUGUGUCCAGCACCACCCCAGGAAGUGUUUGGGACGGUAUUUUCCUGUGAUCUCACAUUAUUACUUAGGCUCUGGUUAACCACAUUUCACACAGCUCCCUCCUGCAUUUGCUCUGGUCCAUCUCCACCAUGCACUGUCACUGCCAUAGAUGCUGGCAAUGUAAUUGUAACAUGGGGGAAAACACACAGCCCUGUCCAGAUAGACAGAGCUGCACAACCUUAAUAUCCUCCCACCUGGGGUUUGGGAAUUAGCAUAAUCUCUGUGGUCCUCUAUAGCUCCAAUGCACCAAGGGCAUGUCUUGAAAAUCCUGUUCUCUGAUUUUGCCUUCCAUCACUGUUCAAUACUCUAAUUGACAGAUCUUAACUUUGAGGUGAAGCACAACGUGCUUAGAAUGGCAAAUCCCUGACAAAACCUGUAAACGCGACAUUAUGAGUUGAUAGCUCAGGCUCUGAAGAAUCAGUCACCAAUCUACCAUUCUUCUGGUCUAUCUGUCCUUCUGCCUCACACCAACAGACAGGAUAAAAUACAUCAUGAAACAGGCAGUAUGAUAAAACAGUGUCCUGCAUACAUCCCACUGACACAGGUUAAAAAGCAUUUCUUUUCCAAGUCUGUUGUGAGCGUGCUGCUCUGGAGUGAAUUCCAUGCACACUCGGGGGAAAAAAGCUGCUCUGGAGUGGUAGUAAGUGCCUGUUCCAGGAUUGUGGAUUGGUCUGCUAGUGAACAGGAAAAGCCCCAAGUAUCACCCGAGCCCACAUCACACUGUGUUUUGUAACGUGUUGAUUGAAUUGUGAAACAGCUAACUACUUUUUCAUCUUCUUUUUCUUUCCUUCCUUUUUUUCUCUCUCCUUAAAUAGUGAUGAGUGGGAAAAGGAAAAUGCUGAUUUUCCUGCUUCCAAUCCCCCAAAAUGAGUUUGCCUAAUAUUGUCCAGGUGCCUUGUCCUCAGAAAACUUUGUGGAUGUAAAACACGCAGGCAGGCAUAGCGAAUACAGAUUAGAUGAACACAGCAAAAUGCAGUUCGAUCUCUGGAUACCCAGGAUAUUUUGUGAUAGAUUUCCCUACUAUUUUGUCCAGUUCAAAGCACACUUACUAGGCGUUGCUAUUCCACAGUCCUUUCCCUACAAGCAUUCAUCUCGGUGUGCCUUUUAGUGCUAUUUGCACUGUAGCAUUCUCUCUUACCCCAAAAGAUGCAGCUACGAAACAGGAAUCCAUGUGGCAACCCUAUCGCUUCACUGUUUAAACUCCUGACACUCAGCCUUCUGUUUGAGGGGAUCAAUACACAAUCCAGCCCAGCUGGAUAGAAAUAAAUUGAUAUGACAUUUUACGAUUAAUCCA
Long non-coding RNA from Columba livia (rock pigeon), 3664 nucleotides. RefSeq lists it as uncharacterized. The record is from RefSeq and is a predicted model, not a curated record. The transcript is spliced from 6 exons. NCBI's taxonomy places the organism in Eukaryota, Metazoa, Chordata, Aves, Columbiformes, Columbidae.